This 25-nucleotide non-coding RNA is filed under the name Mus musculus (house mouse). Lineage: Eukaryota; Metazoa; Chordata; Mammalia; Rodentia; Muridae. The record is from RNAcentral.
AGACAAUAAUCCAGGCUGCCUCUGC